UCUUAAAAUUGAUGUGUUAAAAAUUUACACAAAAUAUGUGUAAAAGGAUUCUAACACAUUUUUGUGUUGGAACUGACACAUAAUGUGUAAAUAUUAUGCUUAACUGCUUACACAAUGAAUGUGUAAAACACGUUAACCAGUACACAAUAAAAUGAAAUGCAUAAUUAUUGUAGUUUAAUGACGAUUUAUAUUUAAACAAAGUAACAUGAAAAAAAUGUUAUAUAAAACACUAUAUCCUGUCGUUUUCAUAAAAAAUUGAUUUAGGCAGCGUGCACUGACACUGAUUAUCCUGUACUUUUGUUUGUUAUAAAAACCAAAUAUCAUAUAUAACACAUUCCUUUAUCAAGUAUAAGAUGUUUGUGCAACAGGAAAUAUACAAGCAAGUUCGGUCAAAAGCACAAUAAGCCUGCACUUCACCACAAAGUUAAAUAAAAAAUAUAAAGUUUUACAAUGCAACUUUGUCCUUAGUCAAAACGAUUUGCCCAGGAACAGAUAAUAUAUUUUUGAGACCAAAGAUUGUCCAUAAGACAGUACCAAUAAAAUAUAUAUAACACUGUUAACCACUACUAACACAUAACACCCAGCGGCCAGCGGUGAUUUUCAGAAGGACUUGCCGAGAUCAAGCUGCGUUGGGCGGGGUACAUGAGCGCUAAGUACCCGUUGGUUGUCUGGAUCAGAACUCCGAAAAAGUCGGGGCAGAUUUUUUAAUAAACGCUCUCUUUAUAAACCGACCGCAAAUUUGAACUUUUUAUACAUACAUUCUCGCCUAAAAAGCUUUUGAACAUACACUUUGUGACACAAUAAGAGUAAUAUUUCAAACAUUAUGCAGGCGUUCUCUUCCAUUGGUGGCUGUCAUAAGUUCACACGAAUCUGCUGAUGACGUUUCACAUGGACAGACAACUACGCAUUAUUGUAUUUUUAAUUGUAUUUUUUGCUUGUGUUAUUUUUAUUUAAUUAUUAUGAAAAUCAUGAUCAUUAUUAUUGAGCCUUGGCUGGCAGUCUGUUUUGAAUUUGUUUUAUUGAAAAGACAAACACACAACGCAUAUUGUGUUGCGCCUGCGCAGUGACGUUCUUUUCCAACCGCCUUUCCAGUCAAGAGGUUAAGAAUGUUCCUGUCUGCAUCAGGUAAGAAAUUAAAUUAAAAAUUACAGUUAUAAUAUGAUAUCUAUUUUUCAUAUAGUGUAAGAAACUUUCGUAUUAAUUGUGCAGGAGACUGUUAAUUUAAACUUUAUUAUGGUAACGUUCAAAACUCGCUCGUUUUGCAAAGUUACGUUUGGAGAUUCAUGUUAACAGUCAUUGUUUAAUGAAAGGCACAUUGGACUACGGCUUAGUAAUAUGUGUGACACUUGCUUGCAGCACUAAAUAGACGUGACACGCGGUACCGGGUUUCUUUUCAGUUUAUGUCUUUACGUUAUAGGACGGGUCAUUAUAAAUUAUGCCUUUCGAUUAUCGCAACGCCUCGUCGCGUUUGGUUAAGCACAUGGUGGAACAGUAUGCACAUCACUGUACCUAACGUACUGUACACCUGUGAGCGGCAUGACGAGACAAAAGACGGUAAAACUCAUUAUUAAUCGGUGAUGCUGUACAUUCUGGAUGAUGCACAGCCACAUUUUAUAAUACUGUUUUUUAUUUUCGUGUCGCGCCGCUCGCGUUCAAUAUAAAGUUAGACAAGACGCAAUUAAUUACUGGGAGAGUAACGUUAGUGGUCUAAUGGUAAGAGUCGAACUUCACGAACCUUUUACUGCUUGCAGUAAGGCUAAAGUGCUACGUGAAUAAGAUGGGUGUAGUUUUGUGCUACUAGCUGUAAAGUGUUUUUGCACUAUUGAGUUAUAAAUACUGCCCAGUAAUACUUAACUAGAUGUAAAUCACAAUUCUUGUGUCAAUGUUUGUUUGUAAUCUUUUUCAGCUAUCCAUCUGAAAAAGAAAAGCUGGCACUCUCAAAGGAGAUUGUGUUGUUGGUUUAUGGUCUCAUUUGGUCAAAAAGAGGGACAUGUACCUGGAUUUAUAAAAAUGAGAUUACAGAACAUCAGAUGGUAGCUUCAACAGAGUUGAAGUGGGAGGACAUCAUCAAUAAAGAAUGCCAUUGACCAAACCUUCAGUCAUCAAAGAAGAUGGAUACAGGUAAUGACAAAAUCACCAAUUAUUGGGGGACAUCAAGUUUUCCAGACUUACCGAUGGGAAAGAAGAAAUGGGAAUGUGACAAUUAUUGAGAAACUCAGGGAAAAAGCAUCUUUAG
This is a non-coding RNA of Misgurnus anguillicaudatus (oriental weatherfish), 2236 nucleotides long. Lineage: Eukaryota; Metazoa; Chordata; Actinopteri; Cypriniformes; Cobitidae. The record is from RefSeq and is a predicted model, not a curated record.